RNAcentral lists this ribosomal RNA (273 nucleotides) under uncultured bacterium. Its description in RNAcentral is "partial 16S ribosomal RNA". The record is from RNAcentral.
CUGCUGCCUUCCGUAGGAGUCUGGGCCGUGUCUCAGUCCCAGUGUGGGGGGCCUUCCUCUCAGAACCCCUACGCAUCGUCGCCACGGUGGGCCGUCACCCCGCCGUCUAGCUAAUGCGCCGCAUGCCCAUCCGCCCACCGGAUCGCUCCUUUGGCCACCGGAGGAUGCCCUCCGGUGGCGUCACGGGGUAUUAGGCCGCGUUUCCGCGGGUUAUCCCCCUGUGGCGGCCAGGUUGCAUACGUGUUACUCACCCGUGCGCCGGUCGCCGGCGGG